RNAcentral lists this ribosomal RNA (492 nucleotides) under uncultured bacterium. Its description in RNAcentral is "partial 16S ribosomal RNA". It matches the Rfam family "Bacterial small subunit ribosomal RNA", at positions 29 to 507 of the family's 1533-position model. The record is from RNAcentral.
AGUGAACGCUGGCGGUAGGCCUAACACAUGCAAGUCGAACGACAGCACAGUAAGAGCUUGCUCUUACGGGUGGCGAGUGGCGGACGGGUGAGGAAUACAUCGGAAUCUACUUUUUCGUGGGGGAUAACGUAGGGAAACUUACGCUAAUACCGCAUACGACCUACGGGUGAAAGCAGGGGAUCUUCGGACCUUGCGCGAUUGAAUGAGCCGAUGUCGGAUUAGCUAGUUGGCGGGGUAAAGGCCCACCAAGGCGACGAUCCGUAGCUGGUCUGAGAGGAUGAUCAGCCACACUGGAACUGCGACACGGUCCAGACUCCUACGGGAGGCAGCAGUGGGGAAUAUUGGACAAUGGGCGCAAGCCUGAUCCAGCCAUACCGCGUGGGUGAAGAAGGCCUUCGGGUUGUAAAGCCCUUUUGUUGGGAAAGAAAAGCAGCAGGUUAAUACCCCGCUGUUCUGACGGUACCCAAAGAAUAAGCACCGGCUAACUUCGUG